Molecule: long non-coding RNA, 1216 nt
Organism: Biomphalaria glabrata
Lineage: Eukaryota; Metazoa; Mollusca; Gastropoda; Planorbidae
Exons: 4
Source: RefSeq, a predicted model, not a curated record
AUCGAUCAUCUAUGAUCUAGUCUGUCUAUAGCUAUACUUACUAUUAUAGGCCUACACUUUUACAGUAUAUGAGUAUACUCAUACGAGUCAUACUGGCUAUACUAUAGUAUAGACACUAUAGUUAGUUACUUAGUAUAGUUAAUACUUUUUAAUAGUAGAUCUAUAAUCUAUCAAUUCUAUCUAAAUUAUUCUAAAUCUAGACUUCACUUUCACAUCACAUUUAUACUUAAAGUGACGAUACUACUUAUAGAUCUACCAGUUGAUAAACAUCAUCAUCAUAGAUAAUAAUCUACAUCUAUAAUCAUAGUGCCCUUUAUUUAGUCAAUAUAGUCAAGUCAAGAUAGUGGAAUGUAAACUCGAAGGUUUAAUACAAUACGUUAUUAACAAGUAGAACCAUGGCAACCAGUUCUGAUGAUGUACCAGAAUGGCUCAAGGAUCAUACUUAUACUAUUUCUACUCUCUGGGCAUCCAUUCAAUAUUUAAUUUAUGUUUGGAAAUGCAAGAAAAAGGCAUGCAUUCCUGAAAAGUCACUGAUUGGUUGCACCUCUUAAAGAUAACUUUCUGUUAUGAGAAAAGAUGAGAUUCUUGGACUCCUGCAUAGCACCACCAGAAAGGAAAAUCCCAUCAUGUUGCAAAAUAAAAGUCUUGGACCAAUUUUAAUUUAAGAUAUAUAUAUAUUAUACUGUAAGCUGUAUACAUAUUUAUGUAUAUCCUGUCAUUCAGCCAACAGGUUUGGAUUUAGUAUUUCUUUAAAUCUGUUUGAUAUUGUACUUGAAAACUAUUAAUCUGAGCCCCAUUAAAACAAGAGGGAGUGCAGUGGAUGAGUGGUAAGGGAAAUUUUACUUUUUUAAAAUUAAAAUAAGAAUCUAACAAAAGUAAACAUAUAAAAUAUGGUGCAUUCUCCUUAAAACUAAAACCUGGUGCAAAGGUUUAAAAUGUUGGCAAAAAAAAAAGCAACAUCAAUUAAAUAUUCUUAAUUCCCUUUGCAAAACUUACUGAGAAGAACAUGCAUGUUGUUCCCUCAUAAGUUUCUUGACAGAGGAAAUCUUGUUUAUAUUAGAUUUGAAGUAAGCAAAUUAAGAAAAAAAUUAUAAUCAUUAUUUCAAAUGGUUGUAUCUAAACCUUAUGAAUUAUUUUUCAGUUAUAAGUAUAUUGAAAUGAUUGGAUAAUCAUGAAAUUGUUAAAUAAUUGCUGCUAUCAUUCCAUUGACUAAAGA